Varroa destructor (honeybee mite) is the source of this 1058-nucleotide long non-coding RNA. The record is from RefSeq and is a predicted model, not a curated record. Lineage: Eukaryota; Metazoa; Arthropoda; Arachnida; Mesostigmata; Varroidae.
UUUAUUUUUGAUUCCGGUGUGCGAAACACAUAUAUACAUAUGUAGCAUUUUAUAACACAUUUUGCAUUACAUAUUAUUUGUGAACGCUGUAUCAAUAACUGUGGAAAAUAUAACGGAAAAUUGAGUGUGCUUGCUCUGUUAUAAUAAGUGUGAAUGCUCCUAUAUUUUGUUGCUUGAUGAUGCGACGGUUGUCGUUAAAUCGAUAAUAGAUAGAGAAUAUGAGUCGUUGAAAAUGAAAAAAACUUAGCUGACUCGGGUUUUCUCUUAGACGGUACGCAAUAUUUGUUAGCAGUGUAGCAGAAUUUUGACAGUACUGACAUUACGUGAGCCGUUUUGGAAUUCAUCUUCGCCGAUAUUUUCGGUAUUCAGUGCUUUGGAACUAAUCCUUCGUGGGUCCAGUUAUUAAAGUGGAGCUACAAUUAGUGGAGCAUUAGAGUUUGUGUGAAGCAAUGUUUAGCAAGGCAGCUCUAGCGUCAAAAUUCGAAAGACUAACUUUAAUCGAAAAUAAUACAAUGAUUUUAACCUGCGAAUACAGUAUAUAUCUACCCUUUUAAUCGAAAUAAGAACAUGUUGGUAACUAACGUGCGAUGACGAUUUCUACAUUUUUUUGGCUGUCUUCAAAUUGCACAGAAAGUGAAGGCACCCCAGCCGAAGAUACAAUUUUACGACCCGAACAAAACGAUGACAAGCACAACGAUGAAAGCAAACGACCAACAAGCAGGAAAACGGCCUUGUAACGUGCUUGUAGAUGAGCCCGCUUUUUCUCGGCUGGUGUGGGGUACAUGCGACCGCUUUUGCCGCGCCUCCCACGACUGCCGCGUCCACCACGGCCACCAGAAUCUGAGUCAGAAUCGGAAGAUUCUCCCACUCUGAAGUGGUAUAUCCGAGAAACGAAAGCAUUUAGGAAAAACGCGUGACUCUUAACCAUCACCUUUGCACUUAUAAACAUUAGUUGUUUAUUAGUCAAUGAUAUAAACGGGCCAUCUUCUUUCUCAUUUGCUCAAGCUCUGGAGUCACUGUAAAUUCGGGAUCGGUGGCUUGUGCUGAUGGAAGUGGAA